GAUUAGUGCGGUCACAGUUGUCUUUGUCUUUGACACAGUGGCUUUCUUCUUCCAUGAGGGGAUUUGGCGAUAUGGUAUGUUUGUUUCCAGGCGGAACGUUAAAGAAUGCGACACACGUCUCACCAAUCCAAUAAUGAAUUCAACAUUCUUGAAGUGUUUCAAGUAGAAUAAUGCGUUAUUAUGUCCCGACUGGAUGCAGUCAACACAUGGCUCAUUCGUAAUUGUUUUUGUCUUGUCUUACACUGGAUGGCUGGCCAAUCAGAGCACACCUUGCUUUUCUGACUGUGUCUCGGUUUCCAUCUGCUUCCAUGGGCAUCUUAAUACACAGUAUGGGUUACUGACAGUCAACUUGUGAGUUUCUGUUGAUACGAGAAGACAUCUGUAUGAUGACUACAGGGACUUCACAGGCAGAUGAACAUCAGCUUGAGUAUUUCAGACAGCAAACUGGAGCAGGAAUUGAUCCCUGUGACACUCCACAUGCAAGUGGGCAUGAGGACGAAACACUAAAUCUUCUAUUUGUUAGAAAAGAUUGAAACCAUUUUAACAUCAUGCUCUGUUACCCAACACAGCUCUCUAACC
Molecule: long non-coding RNA, 579 nt
Organism: Carassius gibelio (silver crucian carp)
Lineage: Eukaryota; Metazoa; Chordata; Actinopteri; Cypriniformes; Cyprinidae
Exons: 3
Source: RefSeq, a predicted model, not a curated record